GUGGGGAAUAUUGGACAAUGGGCGAAAGCCUGAUCCAGCCAUGCCGCGUGUGUGAAGAAGGUCUUCGGAUUGUAAAGCACUUUAAGUUGGGAGGAAGGGCAGUAAGUUAAUACCUUGCUGUUUUGACGUUACCGACAGAAUAAGCACCGGCUAACUUCGUGCCAGCCGCCGCGGUAAUACGAAGGGUGCAAGCGUUAAUCGGAAUUACUGGGCGUAAAGCGCGCGUAGGUGGGUUUGUAAGUUGGAGGUGAAAUCCCCGGGCUCAACCUGGGAACUGCCUCCAAAACUGCAUGACUAGAGUACGGUAGAGGGUAGUGGAAUUUCCUGUGUAGCGGUGAAAUGCGUAGAUAUAGGAAGGAACACCAGUGGCGAAGGCGACUACCUGGACUGAUACUGACACUGAGGUGCGAAAGCGUGGGGAGCAAACAGGAUUAGAAACCCUGGUAGUCC
This 450-nucleotide ribosomal RNA is filed under the name uncultured bacterium. Its description in RNAcentral is "partial 16S ribosomal RNA". It matches the Rfam family "Bacterial small subunit ribosomal RNA", at positions 354 to 796 of the family's 1533-position model. The record is from RNAcentral.